Molecule: long non-coding RNA, 1278 nt
Filed under: Theobroma cacao (cacao)
Lineage: Eukaryota; Viridiplantae; Streptophyta; Magnoliopsida; Malvales; Malvaceae
Description: long non-coding RNA (TCAC_LNC004132)
Source: RNAcentral
GUGAAGAGCAGAAGAAACUGUCAGGUUUGUUCCUGGACCAGGUGAACUGCAUGAUUCUGCUAUGCAGGCUAGGGAGGAGAAGAAAUGAGAAGAAACAUAGAUCAGAGGAGCUAGCGUGGGAAUGAUUUUGAGGAAGAACAGAUGGAAAGAAACUACAUAAGCGAGGUAGGAAGAAAAGAAAAGCAUCAGAGAAGUGCCAAGUCAAGGUAGAGAAAAGUUUGAAGACAGUGAUUAUGAAUCUGAACAAUUCCAGCAAAUUUUUACCAUGUUUGUAACAUGUUAGAUGUUUGGUGGAAUUGUUCAUAUUCAUAAUCAUUGGCUUCAAACUUUUCUCUACCUUGUCUUUGCCCUUCUCUGAUGCUUUCUUUUCUUCGUCUUUGCUCAUGUUCUUGAUUUGGAUGCAGAAUUAUGUGGUUCAUUCUGGUCAGGAACAAAUUAACUGGGGUUUCUUCCCUGGUUUCCCCUAAUUUACUUGAGAUGGAAGAUAGUUAAACAGAAACUUAUAAAAGGGUCUUCUGUGACUGCAAGUUGCUGAUCAUCAAGGAACCAGGAAGGCCAUCAUUGCCUCAGACUCAGUGUAGGGUUUCUAUAUUGUGAAGGAAAUUUCUGGUCUCAAGAAAGAACUUGACAGCUGCCUUUGAGAAUACAAUAGGAAGAUGAAUUUUGCUGCAGAUUUUAUGGUGAUGUUAAGACCAAGUCUAACUAUGCAUCUUCAGGACUUUGCUCAUGAGAGAUGAAAGAUAUGUGUUCUAGAGAAUGUUCAAAGCUGUAAUUGACAUGAGAGAAAAUUAUUUUUUUUCUUAAUAAAAUUCAUUGAUUUAUUCAGCUGUAAUGCCUGAUAAUGACUCUCCGAAACACCCAUGAUUCAGCUUCUGAUCUGUUGCUGAUCAUCUGCUUAUUAAAAAACACUUUAUUUCUCCCAUAUAAUUCCUAUUAAAUUUUGUAUAUAUAUAUAUAUAUAUAACAUCCCAAUCGUCCUCCACACCUGCUACAAGCAAACCAACCAUGUAACCAAUUGCAGACAAAUUAAAACCCAUGGGGCCACUGGCCAUGUGAAUAAUCUCCUUUUGAAAAUGUGCUAGUACACAGAUGGAGAUAGAAUUGUCACAUCCUUUCAGUUCAAUUUUGAAUUACAGGAAGAAAACUUGUUCUCAUCUUAUAAUUCCAAUCAAAUUUUUGUUUCAUUUUCUUGUCCCAACUGAUUUACAAAAACAAGUUCAUCUCCAUUUACUCAAAAUAUCCCCAACCUUCCUCCACACCAGCUACAAGCAAAGAGAC